RNAcentral lists this ribosomal RNA (506 nucleotides) under uncultured bacterium. RNAcentral's name for it is "partial 16S ribosomal RNA". It matches the Rfam family "Bacterial small subunit ribosomal RNA", at positions 29 to 523 of the family's 1533-position model. The record is from RNAcentral.
AGUGAACGCUGGCGGUAGGCCUAACACAUGCAAGUCGAACGGCAGCACAGGAGAGCUUGCUCUCUGGGUGGCGAGUGGCGGACGGGUGAGGAAUACAUCGGAAUCUACUCUGUCGUGGGGGAUAACGUAGGGAAACUUACGCUAAUACCGCAUACGACCUACGGGUGAAAGCAGGGGAUCUUCGGACCUUGCGCGAUUGAAUGAGCCGAUGUCGGAUUAGCUAGUUGGCGGGGUAAAGGCCCACCAAGGCGACGAUCCGUAGCUGGUCUGAGAGGCUGAUAGGCCACACUGGAACUGAGACACGGGCCAGACUCAUACGGGAGGCAGCAGUGGGGAAUAUUGGACAAUGGGCGCAAGCCUGAUCCAGCCAUACCGCGUGGGUGAAGAAGGCCUUCGGGUUGUAAAGCCCUUUUGUUGGGAAAGAAAUCCAGCUGGCUAAUACCCGGUUGGGAUGACGGUACCCAAAGAAUAAGCACCGGCUAACUUCGUGCCAGCCGCCGCCGUAA